RNAcentral lists this transfer RNA (23 nucleotides) under Ranunculus macranthus. RNAcentral's name for it is "tRNA-His". The record is from RNAcentral. Lineage: Eukaryota; Viridiplantae; Streptophyta; Magnoliopsida; Ranunculales; Ranunculaceae.
UUCAAUUCCCGUCGUUCGCCCAU